CCUACGGGUGGCAGCAGUGGGGAAUAUUGGACAAUGGGGGCAACCCUGAUCCAGCCAUGCCGCGUGUGUGAAGAAGGCCCUCGGGUUGUAAAGCACUUUCAGUGAGGAAGAACGCCUGGUGGUUAAUACCCAUCAGGAAAGACAUCACUCACAGAAGAAGCACCGGCUAACUCCGUGCCAGCAGCCGCGGUAAUACGGAGGGUGCGAGCGUUAAUCGGAAUUACUGGGCGUAAAGCGCGCGUAGGUGGCUUGAUAAGUCGGUUGUGAAAGCCCCGGGCUCAACCUGGGAACGGCAUCCGGAACUGUCAAGCUAGAGUGCAGGAGAGGAAGGUAGAAUUCCCGGUGUAGCGGUGAAAUGCGUAGAGAUCGGGAGGAAUACCAGUGGCGAAGGCGGCCUUCUGGACUGACACUGACACUGAGGUGCGAAAGCGUGGGUAGCAAACAGGAUUAGAUACCCCAGUAGUC
This 465-nucleotide ribosomal RNA is filed under the name Vreelandella stevensii. RNAcentral's name for it is "partial 16S ribosomal RNA". It matches the Rfam family "Bacterial small subunit ribosomal RNA", at positions 338 to 795 of the family's 1533-position model. Lineage: Bacteria; Pseudomonadati; Pseudomonadota; Gammaproteobacteria; Oceanospirillales; Halomonadaceae. The record is from RNAcentral.